RNAcentral lists this ribosomal RNA (397 nucleotides) under uncultured bacterium. Its description in RNAcentral is "partial 16S ribosomal RNA". It matches the Rfam family "Bacterial small subunit ribosomal RNA", at positions 523 to 918 of the family's 1533-position model. The record is from RNAcentral.
AUACGUAGGGGGCGAGCGUUGUCCGGAAUGAUUGGGCGUAAAGGGCGCGUAGGCGGCCCGGUAAGUCUGGAGUGAAAGUCCUGUUUUUAAGAUGGGAAUUGCUUUGGAUACUGUCGGGCUUGAGUGCAGGAGAGGUAAGUGGAAUUCCCAGUGUAGCGGUGAAAUGCGUAGAGAUUGGGAGGAACACCAGUGGCGAAGGCGACUUACUGGACUGUAACUGACGCUGAGGCGCGAAAGUGUGGGGAGCAAACAGGGUUAGAUACCCUGGUAGUCCACACUGUAAACGAUGAAUGCUAGGUGUAGGGGGUAUCGACCCCUUCUGUGCCGCAGUCAACACAAUAAGCAUUCCGCCUGGGGAGUACGGCCGCAAGGUUGAAACUCAAAGGAAUUGACGGGG